RNAcentral lists this ribosomal RNA (253 nucleotides) under uncultured bacterium. Its description in RNAcentral is "partial 16S ribosomal RNA". It matches the Rfam family "Bacterial small subunit ribosomal RNA", at positions 524 to 776 of the family's 1533-position model. The record is from RNAcentral.
UACGAAGGGGGCUAGCGUUGUUCGGAAUCACUGGGCGUAAAGGGCGCGUAGGCGGCUUUAUAAGUCGGGGGUGAAAGCCUGUGGCUCAACUGAGGAAGUGCACCCGAAACUGGCGAGCUUGAGUACGAAAGAGGAUCGCGGAAUUCCCGGUGUAGAGGUGAAAUUCGUAGAUAUCGGGAGGAACACCGGUGGCGAAGGCGGCGAUCUGGGUCGAUACUGACGCUGAGGUGCGAAAGCGUGGGGAGCAAACAGG